Long non-coding RNA from Carya illinoinensis, 879 nucleotides. RefSeq lists it as uncharacterized. NCBI's taxonomy places the organism in Eukaryota, Viridiplantae, Streptophyta, Magnoliopsida, Fagales, Juglandaceae. The record is from RefSeq and is a predicted model, not a curated record. The transcript has 2 exons.
UGUGCAUAUGAAAAAAACUCCUCUGCUCUUAGUAAAAUCCCCCAUUCACUCUCCUGGUUCCCAAAGGUCUUGCUGUUCGUAAGUCCUGCUUCUCUCACCAAAGGUCUUGCGUAAGGCCCAGUCCAGCGUUAAACAAACGUUCCCUGCUCUCCCUCAAAACCAGCUUUCGUGCUCCCGUAAGUCCCUCAUGAGAAGCGUCUAUCACUUCUACAAACUCACUUCCGUCAAAGCUCCAACGUGAUCCUUCAAAAGCAAGCCAAGGAAAGCUCCGUUCUCUCCACCAGCGUUCUCAGAACCAGGAGGAAAAAAAAAAACAAAAAAAAAAAAGGAAAAAAAACACCUCGCCUUGUAAUCUACUUCCCUCAAGCCCAAAAAAAUCAAAUGCCCCGAACCCCCCUCUCUCCUUAAGCUCCCAGAGUUUUUUUUUUUUUUUUCCCUCUCCUAGAAGCUUUCUCAUAGGAACCAGUCCGUCCAUUUCUCUCCCAUCGUUGAGGUAACAAAAUAGUUGCCUUUCAAAGCACACAAGCACACAGGCCAAGAGCACCAAAAAUGGAGCAAGCGUGGCUUUUCUACUGUGUAACUGAGUUUCACUUCCCUCUAGCAGUAGAUGUGUUGAGGCUUUUCUACCUUCAACAAUUGUAUGUCCAAAAGGGGCAACAACGUGCUCUGCUGCAGCUUGGGGUGAAUCAAGUGCCCGCAUGAAGUCGGAUUGACUUCGUGGAGUGAAAUGCAUGGCUGUAGAGUGAGUGCUUUCUGUAAACUUGAUAGUGCAAAGGCCUGCGUGAAGUUGGCAUCUGUGAUAUGUGUUGGUGCAGGGGCGUGAAUGAAAUGAUUCCGUAAUGUGCAAUUGAAAAUGCAGGCGUCCACAUUUGACUUUGA